Molecule: transfer RNA, 76 nt
Filed under: Acinetobacter baumannii
Lineage: Bacteria; Pseudomonadati; Pseudomonadota; Gammaproteobacteria; Moraxellales; Moraxellaceae
Description: tRNA-Glu
Rfam family: tRNA
About the family: Transfer RNA (tRNA) molecules are approximately 80 nucleotides in length. Their secondary structure includes four short double-helical elements and three loops (D, anti-codon, and T loops).
Source: RNAcentral
CNCCCUAUCGUCUAGAGGCCUAGGACAUCGCCCUUUCACGGCGGUAACCGGGGUUCGAAUCCCCGUAGGGACGCCA